Molecule: ribosomal RNA, 497 nt
Filed under: uncultured bacterium
Lineage: Bacteria
Description: partial 16S ribosomal RNA
Rfam family: Bacterial small subunit ribosomal RNA
Source: RNAcentral
GAUGAACGCUGGCGGCGUGCCUAAUACCUGCAAGUCGAGCGAACAGAUGAGGAGCUUGCUCCUCUGACGUUAGCGGCGGACGGGUGAGUAACACGUGGAUAACCUACCUAUAAGACUGGGAUAACUUCGGGAAACCGGAGCUAAUACCGGAUAAUAUAUUGAACCGCAUGGUUCAAUAGUGAAAGACGGUUUUGCUGUCACUUAUAGAUGGAUCCGCGCCGCAUUAGCUAGUUGGUAAGGUAACGGCUUACCAAGGCAACGAUGCGUAGCCGACCUGAGAGGGUGAUCGGCCACACUGGAACUGAGACACGGUCCAGACUCCUACGGGAGGCAGCAGUAGGGAAUCUUCCGCAAUGGGCGAAAGCCUGACGGAGCAACGCCGCGUGAGUGAUGAAGGUCUUCGGAUCGUAAAACUCUGUUAUUAGGGAAGAACAAAUGUGUAAGUAACUAUGCACGUCUUGACGGUACCUAAUCAGAAAGCCACGGCUAACUACGUG